This 455-nucleotide ribosomal RNA is filed under the name uncultured bacterium. Its description in RNAcentral is "bacterial SSU rRNA". It matches the Rfam family "Bacterial small subunit ribosomal RNA", at positions 340 to 786 of the family's 1533-position model. The record is from RNAcentral.
UACGGGAGGCAGCAGUGGGGAAUAUUGCACAAUGGGCGCAAGCCUGAUGCAGCCAUGCCGCGUGUAUGAAGAAGGCCUUCGGGUUGUAAAGUACUUUCAGUCGUGAGGAAGGUGUUAAGGUUAAUAACCUUAGCAAUUGACGUUAGCGACAGAAGAAGCACCGGCUAACUCCGUGCCAGCAGCCGCGGUAAUACGGAGGGUGCGAGCGUUAAUCGGAAUUACUGGGCGUAAAGGGCACGCAGGCGGUUAAUUAAGUUGGAUGUGAAAUCCCCGGGCUUAACCUGGGAAUGGCAUUCAAGACUGGUUAGCUAGAGUCUUGUAGAGGGGGUAGAAUUCCAUGUGUAGCGGUGAAAUGUUCGUAGAGAUGUGGAGGAAUACCGGUGGCGAAGGCGGCCCCUGGACAAAGACUGACGCUCAUGUGCGAAAGCGUGGGGAGCAAACAGGGAUUAGAUACC